AGAGUUUGAUCAUGGCUCAGAAUCAACGCUGGCGGCGUGCCUAACACAUGCAAGUCGCACGAGAAAGGGUAGCAAUACCUGAGUAAAGUGGCGCACGGGUGAGUAACACGUGACUAACCUACCCUCGAGUGGGGAAUAACUUCGGGAAACCGAGGCUAAUACCGCAUAAUACCCACGGGUCAAAGGAGCAAUUCGCUUGAGGAGGGGGUCGCGGCCGAUUAGUUAGUUGGCAGGGUAAUGGCCCACCAAGACGAUGAUCGGUAUCCGGCCUGAGAGGGCGCACGGACACACUGGAACUGAAACACGGUCCAGACUCCUACGGGAGGCAGCAGUGGGGAAUUUUGCGCAAUGGGGGAAACCCUGACGCAGCAACGCCGCGUGGAGGAUGAAGUCCUUCGGGACGUAAACUCCUUUCGAUCGGGACGAUUAUGGCGGUACCGGAAGAAGAAGCCCCGGCUAACUUCGUGCCAGCAGCCGCGGUAAUACGAGGGGGGCGAGCGUUGUUCGGAAUUAUUGGGCGUAAAGGGUGCGUAGGCGGUUUGGUAAGUCUCUUGUGAAAACUCCGGGCUCAACUCGGAGCCUGCAGGAGAAACUGCCGGGCUUGAGUGUGGGAGAGGUGAGUGGAAUUCCUGGUGUAGCGGUGAAAUGCGUAGAUGUCAGGAGGAACACCUGUGGCGAAAGCGGCUCACUGGACCACAACUGACGCUGAUGCACGAAAGCUAGGGGAGCAAACAGGAUUAGAUACCCUGGUAGUCCUAGCCCUAAACGAUGACUGCUUGGUGUGACGGGUACCCAAUCCCGCCGUGCCGUAGCUAACGCGUUAAGCAGUCCGCCUGGGGAGUACGGUCGCAAGGCUGAACUCAAAGGAAUUGACGGGGGCCCGCACAAGCGGUGGAGCAUGUGGUUUAAUUCGACGCAACGCGAAGAACCUUACCUGGGCUCGAAAUGUUAUGGACCGGGGUAGAAUAUCCCUUUCCCGCAAGGGGCCGUAAUAUAGGUGCUGCAUGGCUGUCGUCAG
Molecule: ribosomal RNA, 1018 nt
Filed under: uncultured bacterium
Lineage: Bacteria
Description: bacterial SSU rRNA
Rfam family: Bacterial small subunit ribosomal RNA
Source: RNAcentral